GACGAACGCUGGCGGCGUGCUUAAUACAUGCAAGUCGAACGGAAAGGCCUGCUUUCCCUUGUGGAUUGCGGGUACUCGAGUGGCGAACGGGUGAGUAACACGUGAGUGAUCUGCCCCCAACUUGGGUAUAAGCCUGGGAAACUGGGUCUAAUUCCCGAUAGGACUGCAGGGUGGUGCCUGUGGUGGAAGACGAUUUUCUAGUGGUUGGGGAUGAGCUCGCGGCCUAUCAGCUUGUUGGUGGGGUAAUGGCCUACCAAGGCGGCGACGGGUAGCCGGCCUGAGAGGGUGGACGGCCACAUUGGGACUGAGAUACGGCCCAGACUCCUACGGGAGGCAGCAGUGGGGAAUAUUGCACAAUGGGCGGAAGCCUGAUGCAGCGACGCCGCGUGGGGGAUGACGGCCUUCGGGUUGUAAACUCCUUUCGACCGCGAGGAAGCCACCUGGUUGGAAGGGUGGUGACGGUAGUGGUAGAAGAAGCACCGGCUAACUACGUG
Molecule: ribosomal RNA, 494 nt
Filed under: uncultured bacterium
Lineage: Bacteria
Description: partial 16S ribosomal RNA
Rfam family: Bacterial small subunit ribosomal RNA
Source: RNAcentral